Centrocercus urophasianus (Greater sage-grouse) is the source of this 492-nucleotide long non-coding RNA. RefSeq lists it as uncharacterized. The transcript has 3 exons. NCBI's taxonomy places the organism in Eukaryota, Metazoa, Chordata, Aves, Galliformes, Phasianidae. The record is from RefSeq and is a predicted model, not a curated record.
CCACUACGAGCAGAGAAGGCAAAGAUUUCUGAAAGAAUCCCACAUAGAGCAGCCCCACGGCUUGAAGAUGGGCUUGUUGUUAGAUGAAGCUAUACUGGGAGACGCAAGCUUAAUGUAUUCAAAAUGCUACUGGGUGUUGUGUCCACAGGAACAAAGCAGAGCUUACCCAAUAGGACUUGCUAAUGAGAUGAUAACGGAACACUAAUUGAAGGCUUGACUUAUAACUAGACUUUGAUGAAUUUCGGUUCCCUCACCACUGACAAUGUGACCUCGAGUCUGACAAAUCUGUCUCUGCAAGCAGCUUCUGGAAUUUUAUACGUAAAAAAUGUUAAGCUCAUUUGAACUGCUGCCUUUCAUAAUGCAUUUUAUUUAAAGAUGCUUUUAAGUUCUUGAGGAAUUUUCUUUGCAGAUAGGGAAAGAAACCUUUUUGAGCUGAAAUGAAUUUUCUUUUUUUUUUUUACCUUUCUGCUUGCAAAAAACCACAAAACCCAC